AGUACCGUGAGGGAAAGGUGAAAAGCACCCCGACGAGGGGAGUGAAAGAGACCCUGAAACCGAAUGCUUACAAUCAGUCGGAGCCCGCAAGGGUGACGGCGUACCUUUUGCAUAAUGGGUCAGCGAGUUGGUCUGUGCAGCGAGCUUAAGCCGGUAGGCGUAGGCGCAGCGAAAGCGAGUCUGAACAGGGCGUUCAGUACGAUGAAUUAGACCCGAA
This 217-nucleotide ribosomal RNA is filed under the name uncultured alveolate. RNAcentral describes it as "partial Bacterial large subunit ribosomal RNA". It matches the Rfam family "Bacterial large subunit ribosomal RNA", at positions 497 to 719 of the family's 2925-position model. The record is from RNAcentral.